CGGAAUCCAUAUUGACUUUUGGCAAGAAGUUUAUAUUUUUCAAUAUGCCACUCCAGACGGUUCUUUACGAGAUGCUCUGCAAUCUUUAAUAACACUGAUGAUAAGACUAUGGGGCGAUAGGAAGAAGCUGAAGACGGAGGUUUUCCAGGUUUUAAAAUGGGAAUAACCUUUUGUGUUUUCCAUGAAUUUGGAAUAUUACCCGUUAUUAACAUUAAAUUAACCAAAUCCAAAUAAUAAUUUAAAAUUUCAUCUGAAGCGUGUUUAAAAAAAGAGUAUGGGAUACCAUCGAUGCCCGGAGCCGAGUCUUUUAAAUUUGUCACAACACCUUUUAACUCUUGAAGAGUAAAAAGCGAGUUAAGAUCUUUAAGGCUAACUUCACCUAAAGGUGAUGGACGGAGAAAUGAUACAGAAGGAGGUGCUAAUCUAUUUAAAAAAUCGUUGGCUAAAGAGUCUGGCAUAGGAUGAAAAGGAGGGGAGAGACAGAAGAAUAGGGAAGUGAUCACUACCGUGACUAGAUGAUAGAACUGACCAGUGUAAAAGAGAAGAUAAAUUUGAAGUACAAAUAGACAAAUCAGGGGCACUAUAACCCUCAUUAGGUGCAGUUUGCCGUGUUGGUAACCCUGUGUUGAGAAUACAUAACUUAUGGAAAUCUAAUAAAUCUAGUACUUCAAAACCCCA
Molecule: long non-coding RNA, 678 nt
Organism: Aricia agestis (brown argus)
Lineage: Eukaryota; Metazoa; Arthropoda; Insecta; Lepidoptera; Lycaenidae
Exons: 2
Source: RefSeq, a predicted model, not a curated record